This 483-nucleotide ribosomal RNA is filed under the name uncultured bacterium. RNAcentral's name for it is "partial 16S ribosomal RNA". It matches the Rfam family "Bacterial small subunit ribosomal RNA", at positions 28 to 523 of the family's 1533-position model. The record is from RNAcentral.
GACGAACGCUGGCGGCGUGCUUAACACAUGCAAGUCGAACGAUGAAGCUGGAGCUUGCUCCGGUGGAUUAGUGGCGAACGGGUGAGUAACACGUCAGCAAUCUGCUCUUGACUCUGGGAUAACUGCGGGAAACUGUAGCUAAUACAGGAUACGAGGCUCGAAGGCAUCUUCGUGUCGGGAACGAAUUCCGGUCAAGGAUGAGCUCGCGGCCUAUCAGCGUGUGGGUGAGGUAAUGGCGCACAAAGGCGACGACGGGUAGCCGGCCUGAGAGGGGGACCGGCCACACUGGGACCGGGACGCGGCCCUGACUCCUACGGGAGGCAGCAGUGGGGAAUAUUGCACAAUGGGCGAAAGCCUGAUGCAGCAACGCCGCGUGAGGGAUGAAGGCCUUCGGGUUAUAAACCUCUUUUAGCAGGGAAGAAGCGAAAGUGACGGUACCUGCAGAAAAAGCACCGGCUAACUACGUGCCAGCCGCCGCAGUAA